UACGGGAGGCAGCAGUGGGGAAUAUUGGGCAAUGGGGGAAACCCUGACCCAGCAACGCCGCGUGAGGGAAGAAGGUUUUCGGAUCGUAAACCUCUGUCCUAGGUGAAGAGUGAGAGACGGUAGCCUAGGAGGAAGCCCCGGCUAACUACGUGCCAGCAGCCGCGGUAAU
This 169-nucleotide ribosomal RNA is filed under the name uncultured rumen bacterium. Its description in RNAcentral is "partial 16S ribosomal RNA". It matches the Rfam family "Bacterial small subunit ribosomal RNA", at positions 340 to 524 of the family's 1533-position model. The record is from RNAcentral.